GGGUUGUGAGGUUAAGCGACUAAGCGUACACGGUGGAUGCCCUGGCAGUCAGAGGCGAUGAAGGACGUGCUAAUCUGCGAAAAGCGUCGGUAAGGUGAUAUGAACCGUUAUAACCGGCGAUGUCCGAAUGGGGAAACCCAGUGCAAUUCGUUGCACUAUCGUUAACUGAAUACAUAGGUUAACGAGGCGAACCGGGGGAACUGAAACAUCUAAGUACCCCGAGGAAAAGAAAUCAACCGAGAUUCCCCCAGUAGCGGCGAGCGAACGGGGAGCAGCCCAGAGUCUGAAUCAGCUUGUGUGUUAGUGGAACGGUCUGGAAAGUCCGACGGUACAGGGUGAUAGUCCCGUACACCAAAAUGCACAGGCUGUGAACUCGAAGAGUAGGGCGGGACACGUGGUAUCCUGUCUGAAUAUGGGGGGACCAUCCUCCAAGGCUAAAUACUCCUGACUGACCGAUAGUGAACCAGUACCGUGAGGGAAAGGCGAAAAGAACCCCGGCGAGGGGAGUGAAAAAGAACCUGAAACCGUGUACGUACAAGCAGUGGGAGCACCUUCGGGUGUGACUGCGUACCUUUUGUAUAAUGGGUCAGCGACUUAUAUUCUGUAGCAAGGUUAACCGUAUAGGGGAGCCGCAGGGAAACCGAGUCUUAACUGGGCGUUAAGUUGCAGGGUAUAGACCCGAAACCCGGUGAUCU
This 695-nucleotide ribosomal RNA is filed under the name Klebsiella pneumoniae. RNAcentral describes it as "partial 23S ribosomal RNA". It matches the Rfam family "Bacterial large subunit ribosomal RNA", at positions 1 to 731 of the family's 2925-position model. The record is from RNAcentral. Lineage: Bacteria; Pseudomonadati; Pseudomonadota; Gammaproteobacteria; Enterobacterales; Enterobacteriaceae.